This 497-nucleotide ribosomal RNA is filed under the name uncultured bacterium. RNAcentral describes it as "partial 16S ribosomal RNA". It matches the Rfam family "Bacterial small subunit ribosomal RNA", at positions 28 to 507 of the family's 1533-position model. The record is from RNAcentral.
GAUGAACGCUGGCGGCGUGCCUAAUACAUGCAAGUCGAGCGAACGGACGAGAAGCUUGCUUCUCUGAUGUUAGCGGCGGACGGGUGAGUAACACGUGGAUAACCUACCUAUAAGACUGGGAUAACUUCGGGAAACCGGAGCUAAUACCGGAUAAUAUUUUGAACCGCAUGGUUCAAAAGUGAAAGACGGUCUUGCUGUCACUUAUAGAUGGAUCCGCGCUGCAUUAGCUAGUUGGUAAGGUAACGGCUUACCAAGGCAACGAUGCAUAGCCGACCUGAGAGGGUGAUCGGCCACACUGGAACUGAGACACGGUCCAGACUCCUACGGGAGGCAGCAGUAGGGAAUCUUCCGCAAUGGGCGAAAGCCUGACGGAGCAACGCCGCGUGAGUGAUGAAGGUCUUCGGAUCGUAAAACUCUGUUAUUAGGGAAGAACAUAUGUGUAAGUAACUGUGCACAUCAUGACGGUACCUAAGCAGAAAGCCACGGCUAACUACGUG